This 503-nucleotide ribosomal RNA is filed under the name uncultured bacterium. RNAcentral describes it as "bacterial SSU rRNA". It matches the Rfam family "Bacterial small subunit ribosomal RNA", at positions 1 to 507 of the family's 1533-position model. The record is from RNAcentral.
ACGAGUUUGAUCCUGGCUCAGGACGAACGCUGGCGGCGUGCCUAACACAUGCAAGUCGAGCGAAGUGCUUAAGACAGAUUCUUUCGGGAUGAAGUCUUAAGUAUCUUAGCGGCGGACGGGUGAGUAACGCGUGAGAAACCUGCCUUUUACAAAGGGAUAGCCUCGGGAAACUGGGAUUAAUACCUUAUGAUACUUUAUUGCCCCAUGGCAUAAAAGUUAAAGCGUAAAGCGGUAAAAGAUGGUCUCGCGUCCCAUUAGUUAGUUGGUGAGGUAACGGCUCACCAAGACUACGAUGGGUAGCCGGCCUGAGAGGGUGAUCGGCCACACUGGAACUGAGACACGGUCCAGACUCCUACGGGAGGCAGCAGUGGGGAAUAUUGCACAAUGGAGGAAACUCUGAUGCAGCGACGUCGCGUGAACGAUGAAGGCUUUCGAGUCGUAAAGUUCUGUCCUAGGGGACGAUAAUGACGGUACCCUAGGAGGAAGCCCCGGCUAACUACGUG